CAGUCGCCCGGUAAAACGUAGGUGGCAAGCGUUGUCCGGAAUUAUUGGGCGUAAAGGGCUCGCAGGCGGUUUCUUAAGUCUGAUGUGAAAGCCCCCGGCUCAACCGGGGAGGGUCAUUGGAAACUGGGAAACUUGAGUGCAGAAGAGGAGAGUGGAAUUCCACGUGUAGCAGUGAAAUGCGUAGAGAUGUGGAGGAACACCAGUGGCGAAGGCGACUCUCUGGUCUGUAACUGACGCUGAGGAGCGAAAGCGUGGGGAGCGAACAGGAUUAGAUACCCCCGUAGUCCCUGUCUCUUAUACU
Molecule: ribosomal RNA, 301 nt
Filed under: uncultured bacterium
Lineage: Bacteria
Description: partial 16S ribosomal RNA
Rfam family: Bacterial small subunit ribosomal RNA
Source: RNAcentral